GCCAAAAUCUGUGAUCUCUUGUGCCUGGC
This 29-nucleotide non-coding RNA is filed under the name Mus musculus (house mouse). Lineage: Eukaryota; Metazoa; Chordata; Mammalia; Rodentia; Muridae. The record is from RNAcentral.